RNAcentral lists this non-coding RNA (119 nucleotides) under Peromyscus maniculatus bairdii (prairie deer mouse). The record is from RNAcentral. Lineage: Eukaryota; Metazoa; Chordata; Mammalia; Rodentia; Cricetidae.
GUGUUGUGUGAAAGGAGAGAAGGCUAGCGCUCCCCUUGACAAGGAUGGAAGAGGCCCUUGGACCUAACAACACACAUACAGUUAAGAUAUAAGCUUGCAAGAAGUAUCUAAGGUAGUCU